UCCGAUUCCUACGGGAGGCAGCAGUGGGGAAUAUUGCACAAUGGGCGAAAGCCUGAUGCAGCGACCCCGCGUGAGGGAUGGAGGCCUUCGGGUUGUAAACCUCUUUCAGCAGGGAAGAAGCGGUUGGGUUUUCCUGGUCGUGACGGUACCUGCAGAAGAAGCACCGGCUAACUACGUGCCAGCAGCCGCGGUAAUACGUAGGGUGCAAGCGUUGUCCGGAUUUAUUGGGCGUAAAGAGCUUGUAGGCGGUUUGUCGCGUCUGCUGUGAAAUUUCGGGGCUCAACCCCGAACUUGCAGUGGGUACGGGCAGACUAGAGUGUGGUAGGGGAGACUGGAAUUCCUGGUGUAGCGGUGAAAUGCGCAGAUAUCAGGAGGAACACCGAUGGCGAAGGCAGGUCUCUGGGCCACUACUGACGCUGAGAAGCGAAAGCAUGGGGAGCGAACAGGAUUAGAUACCCUGGUAGUCCAUGCCGUAAACGUUGGGAACUAGGUGUGGGUCUCAUUCCACGAGGUCCGUGCCGCAGCUAACGCAUUAAGUUCCCCGCCUGGGGAGUACGGCCGCAAGGCUAAAACUCAAAGGAAUUGACGGGGGCCCGCACAAGCGGCGGAGCAUGCGGAUUAAUUCGAUGCAACGCGAAGAACCUUACCAAGGCUUGACAUGUGCCGGUAAAGUGCAGAGAUGCGCUCCCCGCAAGGUCGGUACACAGGUGGUGCAUGGUUGUCGUCAGCUCGUGUCUUGAGAUGUUGGGUUAAGUCCCGCAACGAGCGCAACCCUCAUUCUAUGUUGCCACCACGUGAUGGUGGGGACUCAUAGGAGACUGCCGGGGUCAACUCGGAGGAAGGUGGGGAUGACGUCAAAUCAUCAUGCCCCUUAUGUCUUGGGCUUCACGCCUGCUACAAUGGCCAGUACAAAGGGCUGCGAUACCGCAAGGUGGAGCGAAUCCCAAAAAACUGGUCUCAGUUCGGAUUGGGGUCUGCAACUCCACCCCAUGAAGUCGGAGUCGCUAGUAAUCGCAGAUCAGCAACGCUGCGGUGAAUACGUUCCCGGGCCUUGUACACACCGCC
RNAcentral lists this ribosomal RNA (1065 nucleotides) under uncultured Ornithinicoccus sp. Its description in RNAcentral is "bacterial SSU rRNA". It matches the Rfam family "Bacterial small subunit ribosomal RNA", at positions 331 to 1394 of the family's 1533-position model. The record is from RNAcentral. Lineage: Bacteria; Bacillati; Actinomycetota; Actinomycetes; Micrococcales; Intrasporangiaceae.